GCCCCCCAACAAGCCCCAAGUAAAUACCCGCACCCCUCCCCCAACAUUUAAGGAAUGUCUCUGUUCCUUAAAGAGGAAUGCCCAGAGGCAAAAUUUUCUUUCAUGUUUGCAAAUAAAUACUUGCUAACCGGGGUGGGGGUGAGGGGGUCGGGGUGGGAAGAAAAAUUUAACAGGCAAAAUCCAAAACAACAAAUUCCUGCAUCUUUAAUAGCAGCCUUGUUCUGAAUUCUUUCCCAAUGCUGAGUUAAAUAAACUAAUCUAUAGUUCUAUAACAGGUUUCUCCAAGGAAUUGCCCUUUUUCUUGACUGUCACACUACUAAAGAAUUGCAAAAAAUUAUUGCGUUAACAAAAGAUGUUCUACUUAUGUUUUCUCACACACUGUUUUUGUUUUUUAGGGAUACUAAAUGUAAAUUUGACCAUUACAAAAUAAUGGCAAUCUGAAAUAUUUAAUCUCACAACGUUCUCAUAAUGGCCAAAAUUUUUAUUCUUCUGAUUUCUAAAUGUCACCACAAGUAUUAAAUAUGUAUAUGCACAAAAAUUCUACUUUAACUACAUUACAUAAUGUCAAAAUUUACACAGAUAAAAGAGUACACUUAUAAUACUUAAAGUAAAAUAAAA
RNAcentral lists this long non-coding RNA (618 nucleotides) under Marmota monax (woodchuck). The record is from RNAcentral. Lineage: Eukaryota; Metazoa; Chordata; Mammalia; Rodentia; Sciuridae.